Callithrix jacchus (white-tufted-ear marmoset) is the source of this 1647-nucleotide long non-coding RNA. NCBI's taxonomy places the organism in Eukaryota, Metazoa, Chordata, Mammalia, Primates, Cebidae. The record is from Ensembl.
CCGGCGAGCCCCGAGCCUCUGCGUUGCCUCGACUCCCGCUCCCGAUCCGCGCGGUGCGUCCGGCGGCCACCCGGCUCCAGGCACAGGCGGCGGUGGUGGCAGCCGCUUCAGUCCUGGGAGCCGCUCUCCGACGCCUGCCGCCUCCGCCGCCGCCUGGAUCUGCCUCAGGCGGCCGGGAGCGGAGCGAAGGCGCAGGGAGGAAGAGGAGGAGGCGGCGGCGGAGGAGGAGGCGCGGGAGGAGGAGGAGGUGGAGGAGGAGAAGAGUCCAAAGCCAGGCGGAGAACCAAAGUGUAUUAAAGGAGCUGCGGCGGGGGCGGCAUUGAACCCAAGGCUGCCAUUACUGCAAGAAUUAAUGCUUAUUGCCAAGAAAUUAAAAUAAAGGAAACGCAUCGGAAAUGUUCUGAGAGGAAAUCAAGACGGUGAUGAUAAUUCCAAAUAUAAUGCUUUCUUCAUAAACCAUCUAUAAAGAUGGCACAGUUCUCGAUCGACCUUCGCCUGGUUGGCUUGAAAUGUUUUAAGUCUUUGACACAGAAAAUUGUGAAAGGACUCGUCCUCUCCAAAUAAAGAUGAGGAUUUUGUUACUGCUGUUUAUUAAAUUGUUUUCGUUGUGUUUCCACACACACCUUUAAUUCCUCAUAUUUGAACUUCAUUGAAGCUUAAAGAAAAAGUCCAUUUGGAAUUUGAUGGUAGCAUUGUCUUUGAUUGCUUGUACAAGAAAUGACAUUCCUAAGUCUCAUACCGAAGCCCCCUGUUAAACAUCGUUCAUACCAAUGUAAAUGGCGCUAUCUAAUCGACUCUUUUGAGAAUAUUUCUGAUUACUUCCCAGCACCAUCGCCCCGAUAAUGGCUUUGGGCGGUCUACUUUUACUUGGACUGCAAACGAAUUAAGUUGGAAACAUGUUUUAUUGUAUCCCCAAAGGAAAAAAAUCACAUUCUAAUCAUUAUCACUUUUUUUUUUACAAGUAAUGUUACGGAUGGCAGCAAAAUAAAAAAUUUAAAACCCUGGACUUUAAUAUGCGAGCAUUGUGAAACAUCAUAAAUUUCAAAAAAUGCUUUCUUUUAAAAUCUGAAAAGGACACUUUGGGGCACUACAACUCCUAACUUGGGGGGAGGUGUCCCACAUUUCUCUGCCAAAAAGUGAUGCAGGAAAUUUCUAUUAGAAAAAAAUCGAUUUGUUACCAAACCACUGGAAAGGGAUGGGAUUCGCUUUUUUGAAAGCCAGUUUUUAUGGUUUUCAAAUAAGACAUCUUAGAGGUAGACUGGUUUAUUAGAAAACGAUAAGGUGAAAGAUCAUUAGUAAAUGAAAAUCAAAUAUAUUUAUUGAUUUCAAAAUAAUAUUUUAUUGGAUCAGUUCUAAUUGUGGACCGGUCAAAGAAACUGAGGCAUACACGUCGACUGUGAUCUGGACCGGAAGGAGAACUUCUGCUUAAAGAACGGUGCUUAUUUAGCGGCUAAUCUCUGAAGAGAUGCCGUUUAGCCUGCUCUGCCUGCCACUGUAUGUCCGAAAGGCAAAAGUUAGAAUCGCUGUCCGAUCUCCUCUCCCCCGCCCCUACUGUAGAUCUAAUUGGAAGUGGCAGAUCUAGAACCGAUGAGUAGUGAGAUUACACUUCGAGCCAACUCCUUUGAACCAUGUUGAAAAGGACUCCAU